UGGAGAGGACAACACAUCUCGACAAUUACAUAUUUGCAAAACUUGAAGAGAUGUGAGAUUUUGCUGCAUAUUCCCUGGAAUCGACUCCAAUUGCUGGCAGUCCCAAAUGGAAAGGGUCUCAAGUGUCGAGGGAAAGUAACCUCUUGGAAUGGACUUGAGAGAUGGACAUCCCCAUACAUGUAGAUAUUCAAGAUGACAAGUGUUGUUGUUGUCAAUUCCCUCAGGUAGAGACUCUAGCUUCUCACAAUUUAUAAUUAUCAGCUUCUUAAGGGUGGCGGGUAGCUCACCUUUCGGAAAGCCAAUAAGAGAUGGACAAUCUUUAAUUUUCAGGUACUCAAGGGCACAACUAUUUCCAUAUAUUGGGAGUACCUGGUUGAACUUGUUGUAGUUUUAAAAUGUCAUCUAUUUCCAUAUAGGGGAUGUGAGCAAUCUUAGGCUAAUAUUUUCCUUUGUCAUUGAGGCACCUCUCUUUUAGAAUAUGACAUCUCCCCAUUACAACUCUUGCAAGUGUUGGUGGUGGGUCAAUGUGGGUAGCUCACCUUCUAGAAAGCCAAUAAGAGACAUCUUUGAACCCCUAUUAAGACCACCUGCCCAUACCAAAUAAAAAGGGGGAAAAUGAGUAGAAAAAACUCAUAUCAUAUCAAAAACAGAACAAAUUAAAUAAUAAUAAUAAUAAUAAUAAUAAUAAUAAAAUCAUACUUUUUUGUGUCUUAAGGAUGUGAUUCACCAUAAAAUAUCAUGGAAACAUUGAUGAAACUUUAUAUAAUGCAUUACUCCAAAAUCAACGAAGAAUAGUGCAAAAGGUGAUUGAAUUUCUUUCACUUCACAAGAAUGGAACCUUUUAAGCCGUGCUACACACUAUAUAAUGGGGAAAUUAGUUUAUAAUUAUUAUAAAAAAAUAAAAAAUAAAAAUUUCAAAGUUAGCAAAGGCGUAGAAGCAAAAUUUGUCAUAUAAGGAGGGAAACAUGAUCUCUGCUCAUUCCCCUAUUAAGAGAAAAUAUGAAUCUUUCAAUGGAUGAAUAUGUCCUUUCUCUAUUCUUCUUGCAAUAAGGGUUGAAGCUUAGGACUCAUUCAGCCUUACACCAUCGCAAUUCUUUUAUGUGGAAAAGGACUGCAAUAGGAUAUUCUCCAUUGACCAAAUGUGAAGCAAAAAAGAAGAUAAGAAACAGAAGACAAAGUACAAUUAGGAGACAAGAAUUUACCAACUCAUUUACAAAAAUACUUAGAAACUCCCCUAUUAUACCAGCUCUCUGUAACUUCAUCAAUGCAUUUGUGAAAUGCUAAUCUGGAAAUAAAUUAUAUAACAUAAGGAGUGGAAAAUUAUAAAAUCAGACACCAACACAUAAAUAUGUGUUUGUGUAUACCAUCUUAAUGGAAAGAAAAACUAUUUACUUGUGGCCCCCUAUGCUUGCCAAGAUUUAGCUUAUUUAAUAUAGUCAGAAUCUGGUGUAUGAACCUCAUCCACAUCUUCAACACCUGAAGAAUAACCCUAAUGCAACAAUAAGUACAGAUUGCAUAAGUACGGAAUGCAAAGAGAAGUGAAAAUCAAGGGUAUAUGGAUUCUUUAUAGAUUAAUAUUCAAGGAAUAAAUUCUGAUUAUAUAUGUAUAUAUAUAAAUUGAAGCACUAAAUGAAAAGCACUAAUAACAUAACUAUUUGUCAUGUAUAUCGACAAAGAACAUGCAGGUGCAGCCAAACACAUGACAAAGAAUGGAAAAGAAGUAGGAAGAAUCUGAAAAAGCUUUAGAGUCAAAGCAAUGCUGGAGAUGCUACAUGGGCAGGCCUAAUUGAUUCUACCUCCACUAAAAUUCUUCUCGUUGUUAUCAAGUCCAAAAGAAUACACGUCCUGCUAUUCAAUAACUUUUGCCUUGCAUACUCCUUAAAUUCUAUAGAUUAAGAGGAUCCAAGGGUUGUCAUUUCAGUUUCUUUAACUCUUCCCUCUUUUCAAACUCCUCAUAGCAUGGAAAGGAUCCACUCUUCCCUCUCAAGGUUAGGCAAUUUCCUUCCCUUACAGAAAUUAUUUCACCCCUUAUCAAAUCCGUCUUCAGUAAAUUCAUCAGAUUAUUUUUUUAAUUUUACAAUCUUAACAUUCCUACCAUCACAAAUAUUCUUUACAAUUCACCAAUUUCUUGACAUGAUUCUCAGAGGCAUUUCUAGAGGGUCAUGAGGUUCAAUAUAAAGAGAAAAAAAUAAAAAAUAAAAGAAAAGGUGGGAAGUGGAGGGCAUGAGGUUCAAUCUCAUUUCCCUAUGUUGAUUGAACCAAUAAUUGCCCUCUAUUCAACCCUAAACUGAUUAUGAAAGAGGGCCUUUUAUCCCUAUUAGAUUGGGCAGAUUAAUGCUACAUGAAGUGAGCCUCCAAAUACAAAUGAGACUCCAAAUACAAACUGAUUAUGGAAGAGGGCCUAAGUAAUUAUUUUACAAAGACUAACUAGAGAUAUUAGUGGACUCUCUUCUUCAUCAGUUUGUAACAUGAAUCAUCAGGGUCAAGUCUUUUACUAAUCCACAACCUUCACCUUCUGGUAUCACAUGGGCAGAGCAUGCCCAUUGUAGCAAACAGUAUGAUAAAAAAAAAAAAAUUAUGUAGCACUAAGUCAAAAGAAUUCUGGUGCAGAAGCCUAAGCAACCAUAUAGAAAUAUGCAAAUGUAAAAGCUAGAAAGACAGUAAUAAAAUAUCACCUUACCUGGCUAGGUUACAAUCAUCAUGUGCCCCAAUUAGGGGAUUUUACCUUCAACAACUUACUUACAAAGACCUUAAUUUGAAAGAGCACAUUUUAAAUCAAUACAAGUGAGAAGAGAGAGAAUAAGAAAGAGAACAACCUGGAUAUAUGCCCUUUCUCUGCAUCCUGAACUGCUUGACAUACCAGUUGCCAGUAGUAAGGGUCUAGGCCAACAGCAUUUACAAUGUCAUGUAAUUAGUAAAAAAAAAUUAAGUGGAAAAGCAGAAAAAAGGGGAAAAAAAUCUCAUCAACAAAGAAGUUAUACCUCUCCCCCGUUUUGCAAUACAUAUUUCCAAGCUGAUGGCAGAAUCCCAGAAAACCUUGGUGUUUAGUAAGGGAGAAUUCCUGUGUGAAUAAAGUACAAAACAAAAUCAGAUAGAAGGGCUUUAUUAAGAUACUAAGAUGCAAAUUUAGAUUGGAAUGAAAUAGAACUAAAACAAAAUCAGAAAUACCUUCUAUUAAUUAAUGGUAAUUGAAAUAGAAUACUGGCUUUAAGCAAAAUGAAGCACCAGAUAUAAGGCCUCUUGUUGUGGGUUAGGUUCUGCAAGUUUGCCAAGCUGCCCAUCCCUUGGUAGGAAGUGAAGUUGGUGCCACAUUUGAUAGGGCCUUAAAAUUUCUUUUGGACCUGAUUAGCAAAAAAUUGUACAGAUGAAACUGGAAUCACAUGUAAACCCCAAGAUUAAAAAUGAAUGGUGCAUUUAUUACAGCUCCUUUCAUGUGUAGGGCAUUUCCCCUUGCAGAUAUGAAUAAGGUGCAUCAAUGGCAGGAAAUUUCCCUUUUAUCUACAUCAAUCCCUUUUCCUGCCAUCCUAUAUGUACAAGACAUCAUUAUUGGAAAUUGAAAGCAGUAUUUUGAGUUGAAAGUGCCAAAUAUCCAGUUAUUAAACUAUGGUAGGAAGGCCUUGCUUAAGAAAAUAAGGAACAAGCUAAGAACACAAUCAAGAGAGGUGAGUUUUUGAGCACAAAACUGUUUAGCUUAUUGUAGGAAAUGAAGUUGGUGCCAAAUUUGAUAGGGGCCUUCAAACUACUUUUGGACCUGAUUAGCAAAAAAAAUUGACAGUGGAGACUGGAAUUGCAUGUGUAAACCCUGAAAUGAAAAAAGAAUGGUGCAUUUAGUACAACUCUUUCAUGUUUAGGAUAUUUCCCCUUGCAAAUAAGCUGCACCAAUGGGCAGAAAUUUUGCUUUCAUCUACAUCAAUGUGCAACACAAAUUCCAUCAUUAUCAGAAAAUGUAAGCGAUAUUUUUAGUUGAAAAUGGUGAAAAUUGUGUUCUAUCAAAACUUACAAUUCAAUGCAUUAAUAAGUACCUCUGUUUUGGAAGAGGGUAGGGACCUUCCUUUGGAAAAAUAAGGAAAAAGCUAAGGGCACAUUCAUGAGAGUCGAGGUUUUGAGCACAAAACUCCACAACUUAUUGUCGACCACGGCAGCCCCUGAUUACGGAACAAAAGGGAGACUCAAAUAUUACAGAGAAAGCAGCAAUAAGUAAGUAGAACCUUUGAUGGAAGAUUACAAAGAUUUGGGAGUACCUGAUUGAAGCUGUUAUUGUUGUACAAUCUUAUCUAUUUCCACAUAGGGGAUGUGAGCAAUCUUGGGCCAAUCAUUUCCUUUGCCCUUGAGGCACCUCUUUUUUAGAAAUGGACACUUCCAGAUUACAAGUCUUGCAAGUGUUGGUGGUAGCCCUUCCUUUGGUACAAAAGACCGGAGCUUAGGGCAACGGUGGAAUUCAAGCCUUUUAAGAGACAUAAGGCUUCGGAGACCCAUGGAGGUUACGGAUUUCAAGUUGGGGAGAUUUAUCAACCCGAGAUGGGUGAGAGAUGUAGGAAGAAGUAGGUGAGAGCCGGAAAAAGAAAGCAGAUCUGGGAAUGGGCCACGAAUCACGAGCUCAUCAAGUGAGGUGAGUGUGCGGAGGCCCCACCCAGAUAGAGGCCACCUCAUAUUCUCACAAUCUGAAAUAUAAAGUUGUUUAAGGUUGGGGUUCAAAAACGCUUCUGGAGAGGACACCACAUCUGGACAAUUACAUAUGUUUAGAAGUCGAAGAGAUGUGAGAUUUUGCAGCAGAUUCCCUGGAAUCGACUCCAAUUGCUCGCAGUCCCAAAUGGAAAGAAUCUCAAGUGUGGAGGGAAAGUAGCCUCUCGGAAUGGACUUGAGAGAUGGACAUCGGCAUACAUGUAGCUUUUCAAGACGACAAGUGUUGUUGUUGUCAAUUCCCUCAGGUAGAGACUCUAGUUUCUCACAAUUUUCAAUUAGCAGGUUCUUAAGGGUGACAG
This 4982-nucleotide long non-coding RNA is filed under the name Vitis vinifera (wine grape). Its description in RNAcentral is "long non-coding RNA (VVIN_LNC006841)". Lineage: Eukaryota; Viridiplantae; Streptophyta; Magnoliopsida; Vitales; Vitaceae. The record is from RNAcentral.